AGUUGACAGGAGAGAUGAAAUCAGAACUACGUGUUCUCGUUUAGUUCGGAUUUCAUCUCUCCUGUCAACU
Non-coding RNA from Cordylochernes scorpioides, 70 nucleotides. Lineage: Eukaryota; Metazoa; Arthropoda; Arachnida; Pseudoscorpiones; Chernetidae. The record is from the annotation of a GenBank genome assembly.